This 492-nucleotide ribosomal RNA is filed under the name uncultured bacterium. Its description in RNAcentral is "partial 16S ribosomal RNA". It matches the Rfam family "Bacterial small subunit ribosomal RNA", at positions 29 to 507 of the family's 1533-position model. The record is from RNAcentral.
AGUGAACGCUGGCGGUAGGCCUAACACAUGCAAGUCGAACGGCAGCACAGUAAGAGCUUGCUCUUACGGGUGGCGAGUGGCGGACGGGUGAGGAAUACAUCGGAAUCUACUUUUUCGUGGGGGAUAACGUAGGGAAACUUACGCUAAUACCGCAUACGACCUACGGGUGAAAGCAGGGGAUCUUCGGACCUUGCGCGAUUGAAUGAGCCGAUGUCGGAUUAGCUAGUUGGCGGGGUAAAGGCCCACCAAGGCGACGAUCCGUAGCUGGUCUGAGAGGAUGAUCAGCCACACUGGAACUGAGACACGGUCCAGACUCCUACGGGAGGCAGCAGUGGGGAAUAUUGGACAAAGGGCGAAAGCCUGAUCCAGCCAUGCCGCGUGGGUGAAGAAGGCCUUCGGGUUGUAAAGCCCUUUUGUUGGGAAAGAAAAGCAGCAGGUUAAUACCCCGCUGUUCUGACGGUACCCAAAGAAUAAGCACCGGCUAACUUCGUG